CCGUACACAAAAGCGCAUGUGCUGUGAGCUCGAUGAGUAGGGCGGGACACGUGGUAUCCUGUCUGAAUAUGGGGGGACCAUCCUCCAAGGCUAAAUACUCCUGACUGACCGAUAGUGAACCAGUACCGUGAGGGAAAGGCGAAAAGAACCCCGGCGAGGGGAGUGAAAAAGAACCUGAAACCGUGUACGUACAAGCAGUGGGAGCACAGGUUUACCUGUGUGACUGCGUACCUUUUGUAUAAUGGGUCAGCGACUUAUAUUCUGUAGCAAGGUUAACCGAAUAGGGGAGCCGGAGGGAAACCGAGUCUUAAUUGGGCGUUAAGUUGCAGGGUAUAGACCCGAAACCCGGUGAUCUAGCCAUGGGCAGGUUGAAGGUUGGGUAACACUAACUGGAGGACCGAACCGACUAAUGUUGAAAAAUUAGCGGAUGACCUGUGGCUGGGGGUGAAAGGCCAAUCAAACCGGGAGAUAGCUGGUUCUCCCCGAAAGCUAUUUAGGUAGCGCCUCGUGAAUUCAUCUCCGGGGGUAGAGCACUGUUUCGGCUAGGGGGCCAUCCCGGCUUACCAACCCGAUGCAAACUGCGAAUACCGGAGAAUGUUAUCACGGGAGACACACGGCGGGUGCUAACGUCCGUCGUGAAGAGGGAAACAACCCAGACCGCCAGCUAAGGUCCCAAAGUCAUGGUUAAGUGGGAAACGAUGUGGGAAGGCCCAGACAGCCAGGAUGUUGGCUUAGAAGCAGCCAUCAUUUAAAGAAAGCGUAAUAGCUCACUGGUCGAGUCGGCCUGCGCGGAAGAUGUAACGGGGCUAAACCAUGCACCGAAG
RNAcentral lists this ribosomal RNA (824 nucleotides) under Salmonella enterica subsp. enterica. RNAcentral's name for it is "partial 23S ribosomal RNA". It matches the Rfam family "Bacterial large subunit ribosomal RNA", at positions 373 to 1199 of the family's 2925-position model. The record is from RNAcentral. Lineage: Bacteria; Pseudomonadati; Pseudomonadota; Gammaproteobacteria; Enterobacterales; Enterobacteriaceae. RNAcentral also lists the same sequence under 1 other name.